UACGUAGGGUGCGAGCGUUGUCCGGAAUUAUUGGGCGUAAAGAGCUCGUAGGCGGCUUGUCGCGUCGGAUGUGAAAGCCCGGGGCUUAACCCCGGGUCUGCAUUCGAUACGGGCAGGCUAGAGUUCGGUAGGGGAGAUCGGAAUUCCUGGUGUAGCGGUGAAAUGCGCAGAUAUCAGGAGGAACACCGGUGGCGAAGGCGGAUCUCUGGGCCGAUACUGACGCUGAGGAGCGAAAGCGUGGGGAGCGAACAGG
RNAcentral lists this ribosomal RNA (253 nucleotides) under uncultured bacterium. RNAcentral describes it as "partial 16S ribosomal RNA". It matches the Rfam family "Bacterial small subunit ribosomal RNA", at positions 524 to 776 of the family's 1533-position model. RNAcentral also lists the same sequence under 2 other names. The record is from RNAcentral.